This 710-nucleotide ribosomal RNA is filed under the name Ligilactobacillus ruminis. RNAcentral describes it as "bacterial SSU rRNA". It matches the Rfam family "Bacterial small subunit ribosomal RNA", at positions 1 to 722 of the family's 1533-position model. The record is from RNAcentral. Lineage: Bacteria; Bacillati; Bacillota; Bacilli; Lactobacillales; Lactobacillaceae.
UUUUGUGGAGGGUUCGAUUCUGGCUCAGGAUGAACGCUGGCGGCGUGCUUAACACAUGCAAGUCGAACGGGAUCCAUCAAGCUUGCUUGGUGGUGAGAGUGGCGAACGGGUGAGUAAUGCGUGACCGACCUGCCCCAUACACCGGAAUAGCUCCUGGAAACGGGUGGUAAUGCCGGAUGCUCCAGUUGAUCGCAUGGUCUUCUGGGAAAGCUUUCGCGGUAUGGGAUGGGGUCGCGUCCUAUCAGCUUGACGGCGGGGUAACGGCCCACCGUGGCUUCGACGGGUAGCCGGCCUGAGAGGGCGACCGGCCACAUUGGGACUGAGAUACGGCCCAGACUCCUACGGGAGGCAGCAGUGGGGAAUAUUGCACAAUGGGCGCAAGCCUGAUGCAGCGACGCCGCGUGAGGGAUGGAGGCCUUCGGGUUGUAAACCUCUUUUAUCGGGGAGCAAGCGAGAGUGAGUUUACCCGUUGAAUAAGCACCGGCUAACUACGUGCCAGCAGCCGCGGUAAUACGUAGGGUGCAAGCGUUAUCCGGAAUUAUUGGGCGUAAAGGGCUCGUAGGCGGUUCGUCGCGUCCGGUGUGAAAGUCCAUCGCUUAACGGUGGAUCCGCGCCGGGUACGGGCGGGCUUGAGUGCGGUAGGGGAGACUGGAAUUCCCGGUGUAACGGUGGAAUGUGUAGAUAUCGGGAAGAACACCAAUGGCGAAGGC